RNAcentral lists this ribosomal RNA (252 nucleotides) under uncultured bacterium. RNAcentral describes it as "partial 16S ribosomal RNA". It matches the Rfam family "Bacterial small subunit ribosomal RNA", at positions 524 to 776 of the family's 1533-position model. The record is from RNAcentral.
UACGGAGGAUGCGAGCGUUAUCCGGAUUUAUUGGGUUUAAAGGGUGCGCAGGCGGAUUUUUAAGUCAGCGGUCAAAUCGUGGGGCUCAACCCCGUCCAGCCGUUGAAACUGGGGAUCUAGAGUGUGCGAGAGGUAUGCGGAAUGCGUGGUGUAGCGGUGAAAUGCAUAGAUAUCACGCAGAACCCCGAUUGCGAAGGCAGCAUACCGGUGCACAACUGACGCUCAGGCACGAAAGCGUGGGUAUCGAACAGG